GGCGAGUGAAGCGGUAACAGCUCAAAUUUGAAAUCUGGUCCCCUCUGGGGGCCCGAGUUGUAAUUUGAAGAGGAUGCUUUUGGCGAGGCGCCUUCCGAGUGCCCUGGAACGGGACGCCACAGAGGGUGAGAGCCCCGUAUGGUAGGACGCCGAGCCUCUGUAAAGCUCCUUCGACGAGUCGAGUAGUUUGGGAAUGCUGCUCAAAAUGGGAGGUAAACCCCUUCUAAAGCUAAAUAUUGGCCAGAGACCGAUAGCGCACAAGUAGAGUGAUCGAAAGAUGAAAAGCACUUUGAAAAGAGAGUUAAACAGCACGUGAAAUUGUUGAAAGGGAAGCGCUUGCGACCAGACUUGCGCCCGUCGGAUCAACCGUCCCUCGUGGGCGGCGCACUCCGGCGGGCUCAGGCCAGCAUCAGUUUUCCCGGGGGGAGAAAGGCGGUGGGAAUGUAGCUCUUCGGAGUGUUAUAGCCUGCCGCGUAAUGCCCCCGGGGGGACUGAGGACCGCGCGUAAGCAAGGAU
This 516-nucleotide ribosomal RNA is filed under the name Doratomyces sp. 41558-2. Its description in RNAcentral is "eukaryotic LSU rRNA". It matches the Rfam family "Eukaryotic large subunit ribosomal RNA", at positions 88 to 624 of the family's 3401-position model. Lineage: Eukaryota; Fungi; Ascomycota; Sordariomycetes; Microascales; Microascaceae. The record is from RNAcentral.